RNAcentral lists this ribosomal RNA (524 nucleotides) under uncultured eukaryote. RNAcentral's name for it is "SSU rRNA". It matches the Rfam family "Eukaryotic small subunit ribosomal RNA", at positions 21 to 549 of the family's 1831-position model. The record is from RNAcentral.
UAGUCAUAUGCUUGUCUCAAAGAUUAAGCCAUGCAUGUCUAAGUAUAAGCAAUUAUACCGUGAAACUGCGAAUGGCUCAUUAAAUCAGUUAUCGUUUAUUUGACAGUACCUUACUACUUGGAUAACCGUGGUAAUUCUAGAGCUAAUACAUGCUGAAAACCCCACCUUCGGAAGGGGUGUAUUUAUUAGAUAAAAAACCAACGCCCUUCGGGGCUUCUUGGUGAUUCAUGAUAACUUUACGGAUCGCAUGGCCUUGCGCCGGCGACGGUUCAUUCAAAUUUCUGCCCUAUCAACUUUCGAUGGUAAGGUAUUGGCUUACCACGGUUUCAACGGGUAACGGGGAAUUAGGGUUCGAUUCCGGAGAGGGAGCCUGAGAAACGGCUACCACAUCCAAGGAAGGCAGCAGGCGCGCAAAUUACCCAAUCCCGACACGGGGAGGUAGUGACAAUAAAUACUGAUACAGGGCUCUUUUGGGUCUUGUAAUUGGAAUGAGUACAAUUUAAACCUCUUAACGAGGAACAAUU